Molecule: ribosomal RNA, 467 nt
Filed under: uncultured bacterium
Lineage: Bacteria
Description: partial 16S ribosomal RNA
Rfam family: Bacterial small subunit ribosomal RNA
Source: RNAcentral
GACGAACGCUGGCGGCGUGCUUAACACAUGCAAGUCGUGCGAGAAACUUCGGUCGCUAGCGGCGGACGGGUGAGUAACACGUUGGCAACCUGCCUCACAACGGGGGAUAGCCUUCCGAAAGGGAGAUUAAUACCGCAUAAUACAAAGGAAACGCAUGUUUCUUUUGCCAAAGAAGUUCGUUGUGAGAUGGGCGCGCGGCGCAUUAGCUUGUGGGUGAGGGAACGGCUCACAAAGGCGACGAUGUGUAGUCGACCUGAGAGGGUGACCGGCCACAUUGGAACUGAGACACGGUCCAGACUCCUACGGGAGGCAGCAGUGGGGAAUAUUGCACAAUGGAGGAAACUCUGAUGCAGCAACGCCGCGUGAGUGAUGAAGGUCUUCGGAUUGUAAAACUCUGUCUUCUGGGACGAUAAUGACGGUACCAGAGGAGGAAGCCACGGCUAACUACGUGCCAGCCGCCGCCGUAA